Molecule: ribosomal RNA, 475 nt
Filed under: uncultured bacterium
Lineage: Bacteria
Description: bacterial SSU rRNA
Rfam family: Bacterial small subunit ribosomal RNA
Source: RNAcentral
ACGAACGCUGGCGGCACGCUUAACACAUGCAAGUCGAACGGAGUUAUUGGAGCUUGCUCUGAAUAACUUAGUGGCGGACGGGUGAGUAACACGUGAGCAACCUGCCUUUGAGAGUGGAAUAGCUUCUGGAAACGGAUGGUAAUACCGCAUAACAUUACCGGACCGCAUGAUCUGGUAAUCAAAGAUUUAUCGCUCAAAGAUGGGCUCGCGCCUGAUUAGAUAGUUGGUGGGGUAACGGCCUACCAAGUCGACGAUCAGUAGCCGGACUGAGAGGUUGGACGGCCACAUUGGGACUGAGACACGGCCCAGACUCCUACGGGAGGCAGCAGUGGGGAAUAUUGCACAAUGGGCGGAAGCCUGAUGCAGCGAUGCCGCGUGGAGGAAGAAGGUUUUCGGAUUGUAAACUCCUUAUCUGAGGGACGAUAAUGACGGUACCUCAGGAGAAAGCUCCGGCUAACUACGUGCCAGCAGCAGC